This 238-nucleotide ribosomal RNA is filed under the name uncultured bacterium. Its description in RNAcentral is "partial 16S ribosomal RNA". It matches the Rfam family "Bacterial small subunit ribosomal RNA", at positions 539 to 776 of the family's 1533-position model. The record is from RNAcentral.
CGUUGUUCGGAAUUACUGGGCGUAAAGGGCUCGUAGGUGGCCAACUAAGUCAGACGUGAAAUCCCUCAGCUUAACUGGGGAACUGCGUCUGAUACUGGAUGGCUUGAGUUUGGGAGAGGGAUGCGGAAUUCCAGGUGUAGCGGUGAAAUGCGUAGAUAUCUGGAGGAACACCGGUGGCGAAGGCGGCAUCCUGGACCAAUACUGACACUGAGGAGCGAAAGCCAGGGGAGCAAACGGG